Molecule: ribosomal RNA, 1522 nt
Filed under: metagenome
Description: bacterial SSU rRNA
Rfam family: Bacterial small subunit ribosomal RNA
Source: RNAcentral
AGAGUUUGAUCAUGGCUCAGAUUGAACGCUGGCGGCAGGCCUAACACAUGCAAGUCGAACGGUAACAGGAAGCAGCUUGCUGCUUCGCUGACGAGUGGCGGACGGGUGAGUAAUGUCUGGGAAGCUGCCUGAUGGAGGGGGAUAACUACUGGAAACGGUAGCUAAUACCGCAUAAUGUCGCAAGACCAAAGAGGGGGACCUUCGGGCCUCUUGCCAUCGGAUGUGCCCAGAUGGGAUUAGCUUGUUGGUGGGGUAACGGCUCACCAAGGCGACGAUCCCUAGCUGGUCUGAGAGGAUGACCAGCCACACUGGAACUGAGACACGGUCCAGACUCCUACGGGAGGCAGCAGUGGGGAAUAUUGCACAAUGGGCGCAAGCCUGAUGCAGCCAUGCCGCGUGUAUGAAGAAGGCCUUCGGGUUGUAAAGUACUUUCAGCGGGGAGGAAGGGAGUAAAGUUAAUACCUUUGCUCAUUGACGUUACCCGCAGAAGAAGCACCGGCUAACUCCGUGCCAGCAGCCGCGGUAAUACGGAGGGUGCAAGCGUUAAUCGGAAUUACUGGGCGUAAAGCGCACGCAGGCGGUUUGUUAAGUCAGAUGUGAAAUCCCCGGGCUCAACCUGGGAACUGCAUCUGAUACUGGCAAGCUUGAGUCUCGUAGAGGGGGGUAGAAUUCCAGGUGUAGCGGUGAAAUGCGUAGAGAUCUGGAGGAAUACCGGUGGCGAAGGCGGCCCCCUGGACGAAGACUGACGCUCAGGUGCGAAAGCGUGGGGAGCAAACAGGAUUAGAUACCCUGGUAGUCCACGCCGUAAACGAUGUCGACUUGGAGGUUGUGCCCUUGAGGCGUGGCUUCCGGAGCUAACGCGUUAAGUCGACCGCCUGGGGAGUACGGCCGCAAGGUUAAAACUCAAAUGAAUUGACGGGGGCCCGCACAAGCGGUGGAGCAUGUGGUUUAAUUCGAUGCAACGCGAAGAACCUUACCUGGUCUUGACAUCCACGGAAGUUUUCAGAGAUGAGAAUGUGCCUUCGGGAACCGUGAGACAGGUGCUGCAUGGCUGUCGUCAGCUCGUGUUGUGAAAUGUUGGGUUAAGUCCCGCAACGAGCGCAACCCUUAUCCUUUGUUGCCAGCGGUCCGGCCGGGAACUCAAAGGAGACUGCCAGUGAUAAACUGGAGGAAGGUGGGGAUGACGUCAAGUCAUCAUGGCCCUUACGACCAGGGCUACACACGUGCUACAAUGGCGCAUACAAAGAGAAGCGACCUCGCGAGAGCAAGCGGACCUCAUAAAGUGCGUCGUAGUCCGGAUUGGAGUCUGCAACUCGACUCCAUGAAGUCGGAAUCGCUAGUAAUCGUGGAUCAGAAUGCUACGGUGAGUACGUUCCCGGGCCUUGUACACACCGCCCGUCACACCAUGGGAGUGGGUUGCAAAAGAAGUAGGUAGCUUAACCUUCGGGAGGGCGCUUACCACUUUGUGAUUCAUGACUGGGGUGAAGUCGGAACAAGGUAACCGUAGGGGAACCUGCGGUUG